Molecule: ribosomal RNA, 460 nt
Filed under: uncultured bacterium
Lineage: Bacteria
Description: partial 16S ribosomal RNA
Rfam family: Bacterial small subunit ribosomal RNA
Source: RNAcentral
CCUACGGGAGGCAGCAGUGAGGAAUAUUGGUCAAUGGUCGGGAGACUGAACCAGCCAAGUAGCGUGAAGGAUGACUGCCCUACGGGUUGUAAACUUCUUUUAUAAAGGAAUAAAGUGAGGCACGUGUGCCUUUUUGUAUGUACUUUAUUAAUAAGGAUCGGCUAACUCCGUGCCAGCAGCCGCGGUAAUACGGAGGAUCCGAGCGUUAUCCGGAUUUAUUGGGUUUAAAGGGAGCGUAGAUGGGUUGUUAAGUCAGUUGUGAAAGUUUGCGGCUCAACCGUAAAAUUGCAAUUGAUACUGGCAGUCUUGAGUACAGUUGAGGUAGGCGGAAUUCGUGGUGUAGCGGUGAAAUGCUUAGAUAUCACAAAGAACUCCGAUUGCGAAGGCAGCUUACUAAACUGCCACUGACAUUGAUGCUCGAAAGUGUGGGUAUCAAACAGGAUUAGAUACCCGAGUAGUC